RNAcentral lists this ribosomal RNA (473 nucleotides) under uncultured bacterium. Its description in RNAcentral is "bacterial SSU rRNA". It matches the Rfam family "Bacterial small subunit ribosomal RNA", at positions 30 to 492 of the family's 1533-position model. The record is from RNAcentral.
AUUGAACGCUGGCGGCCUGCUUAACACAUGCAAGUCGAACGGUAACAGGUCUAGCUUGCUAGAUGCUGACGAGUGGCGGACGGGUGAGUAACGCGUGGGAAUCUGCCUUCUAGUGGGGGAUAGCCCGGAGAAAUCCGGAUUAAUACCGCAUACGCCUACGGGGGAAAGCCGGGGAGUCUUCGGACCUGGCGCUAGUAGAUGAGCCCGCGUGAGAUUAGCUUGUUGGUGGGGUAAUGGCCUACCAAGGCAACGAUCUCUAGCUGGUCUGAGAGGACGAUCAGCCGCACUGGGACUGAGACACGGCCCAGACUCCUACGGGAGGCAGCAGUGGGGAAUAUUGGACAAUGGGCGAAAGCCUGAUCCAGCAAUGCCGCGUGUGUGAAGAAGGCCUGAGGGUUGUAAAGCACUUUCAAUCGUGAAGAAAAGUUGCAGGCUAAUACCCUGUGACCUUGACGUUAACGAUACAAGAAGCA